Molecule: ribosomal RNA, 444 nt
Filed under: uncultured bacterium
Lineage: Bacteria
Description: bacterial SSU rRNA
Rfam family: Bacterial small subunit ribosomal RNA
Source: RNAcentral
AACGCGAAGAACCUUACCAGCCCUUGACAUCCCGGUCGCGGACUCCAGAGACGGAGUUCUUCAGUUCGGCUGGACCGGAGACAGGUGCUGCAUGGCUGUCGUCAGCUCGUGUCGUGAGAUGUUGGGUUAAGUCCCGCAACGAGCGCAACCCUUUCCCUUAUUUGCCAGCAUUAAGUUGGGCACUCUAGGGGUACUGCCGAUGAUAAAUCGGAGGAAGGUGGGGACGAGGUCAAGUCAUCAUGGCCCUUAUGUCCAGGGCAACACACGUACUACAAUGGCCAAGACAAAGCGAUGCGAGACCGCAAGGUUUAGCCAAUCGCAAAAACAUGGUCUCAGUUCGGAUUGUGGUCUGCAACUCGACCACAUGAAGUUGGAAUCUCUAGUAAUCGCAGAUCAGCAGGCUGCGGUGAAUACGUUCCCGGGCCUUGUACACACCGAGACGUA